AUACGGAGGGUGCAAGCGUUACUCGGAAUCACUGGGCGUAAAGCGCAUGCAGGCGGUCUAAUAAGUUGGAAGUGAAAGCCUAUGGCUCAACCAUAGAACUGCUUCCAAAACUGUUAGACUAGAGUCUGGGAGGGGAAGAUGGAAUUAGUAGUGUAGGGGUAAAAUCCGUAGAGAUUACUAGGAAUACCAAAAGCGAAGGCGAUCUUCUGGAACAGUACUGACGCUGAGAUGCGAAAGCGUGGGGAGCAAACAGGAUUAGAUACCCUAGUAGUCC
This 274-nucleotide ribosomal RNA is filed under the name uncultured bacterium. RNAcentral describes it as "partial 16S ribosomal RNA". It matches the Rfam family "Bacterial small subunit ribosomal RNA", at positions 523 to 796 of the family's 1533-position model. The record is from RNAcentral.